AGCUCCACCCUUUCCCAGACCUCACUUAAGGGUUGGCAGUGGAGGUAAGGGUAUGUUUCUGGAGAACCCUGCUUAGCUGAGGCCUUGUGAACGUUCGUUGCUAAACCAUGUGCCUUAGGCCUUAAAGUCCAAGCCAAUGGACCACAGAAAGCUCAACCUAAUGCUAUCCUGGAAAAAGUUUUCACAGCCAUUACAAAGCAUCCGGAUGAGAAGAGGCUGGAGGGCCUUUCCAAGCAGCUGGACUGGGAUGUACGCAGCAUUCAGCGUUGGUUUCGACAAAGACGCAACCAGGAGAAGCCCAGUACUCUUACAAAGUUCUGUGAGAGCAUGUAAGGAAACUGUCUUUACAGCACAGUCUUUAGCUAUAUAGCUUGACAGAGAUCAGAAAUGGAGGGAUAAAGAUAAAAGCCAAUGGAGUACUUAAACCAUUUUCCUUGCCUUUCUU
This is a non-coding RNA of Meleagris gallopavo (turkey), 445 nucleotides long. The record is from RefSeq and is a predicted model, not a curated record. NCBI's taxonomy places the organism in Eukaryota, Metazoa, Chordata, Aves, Galliformes, Phasianidae.